GCAGUGGUGGUUCAGUGCUAGAAUUCUCACCUUCCACAUGGGAGACCUGGGUUCAGUUCCUAUCCAAUGCA
This 71-nucleotide transfer RNA is filed under the name Loxodonta africana (African savanna elephant). It matches the Rfam family "tRNA". From Rfam's summary of the family: Transfer RNA (tRNA) molecules are approximately 80 nucleotides in length. The record is from Rfam by way of RNAcentral. Lineage: Eukaryota; Metazoa; Chordata; Mammalia; Proboscidea; Elephantidae.